GUCGAACGAGAAAGUGGAGCAAUCCAUGAGUACAGUGGCGCACGGGUGAGUAACACGUGGAUAACCUGCCUUCGAGUGGGGGAUAACCCCGGGAAACCGGGGCUAAUACCGCAUAACCUCCUCGGGCUGCAAUGCCUGAGGAACAAAGGGGUAACUCGCUGGAAGAGGGGGUCGCGUCUGAUUAGCUAGUUGGCGGGGUAAUGGCCCACCAAGGCGAUGAUCAGUAGCCGGCCUGAGAGGGCGCACGGCCACACUGGAACUGAAACACGGUCCAGGAUCCUACGGGAGGCAGCAGUGGGGAAACUUUGCACAAUGGGGGAAACCCUGAUGCAGCAACGCCGCGUGGAGGAUGAAGCCCCUUGGGGCGUAAACUCCUUUCGAUCGGGACGAUUAUGACGGUACCGGAUGAAGAAGCACCGGCUAACUCUGUGCCAGCAGCCGCGGUAAUACAGAGGGUGCAAGCGUUGUUCGGAAACUAUUGGGCGUAAAGGGCGCGUAGGCGGUGCGGUAAGUCUGUGGUGAAAUCUCUGGGCUCAACUCAGAGUCUGCCGCGGAAACUGCCGUGCUGGAGUGUGGGAGAGGUGCGUGGAAACUUCCGGUGUAGCGGUGAAAUGCGUAGAUAUCGGGAGGAACACCUGUGGCGAAAGCGGCGCACUGGACCACAACUGACGCUGAGGCGCGAAAGCUAGGGGAGCAAACAGGAUUAGAUACCCUGGUAGU
This 720-nucleotide ribosomal RNA is filed under the name uncultured bacterium. Its description in RNAcentral is "bacterial SSU rRNA". It matches the Rfam family "Bacterial small subunit ribosomal RNA", at positions 61 to 794 of the family's 1533-position model. The record is from RNAcentral.